UCCUGUACUACCGAUAACCGUUUGAGAGAAGGGAUGACACAGUAGGAUAAGCUAAGCACACUGUUGGUUAUGUGUGCCCAAGCAUUGAGGCAGUCAAAGUAGGCAAAUCCGCUUUGAUAAUGCUGGGAUGUGAUGGGGAGCGAAAUUUAGUAGCGAAGUAGCUGAUUUCACACUGUCAAGAAAAGUCUCUAUCGAGGUUAAAGGUACCCGUACCGCAAACCGACACAGGUGGGUGAGGAGAGUAUCCUAAGGCCAGCGAGAGAACUGUUGUUAAGGAACGCGGCAAAAUGACCCCGUAACUUAGGGAUAAGGGGUGCCACCAGCAGGUGGCCGCAGAGAAUAGGCCCAAGCGACUGUUUACCAAAAACAUAGGUUUCUGCUAAGUCGCAAGACGAUGUAUAGGAGCUGACGCCUGCCCGGUGCUGGAAGGUUAAGGGGAUCUGUUAGAGCAAUCGAAGCAGUGAACUUAAGCCCCAGUAAACGGCGGCCGUAACUAUAACGGUCCUAAGGUAGCGAAAUUCCUUGUCGGGUAAGUUCCGACCCGCACGAAAGGCGUAACGAUUUGGGCACUGUCUCAACAACAGACUCGGUGAAAUUGUAAUUCCGGUGAAGAUGCCGGAUACCUGCGACAGGACGGAAAGACCCCAUGGAGCUUUACUGUAGCUUGACAUUGGGUCUUGGUACUACAUGUACAGGAUAGGUGGGAGGCUUUGAAACCAGGACGCCAGUUUUGGCGGAGCCAUCCUUGGGAUACCACCCUUGUAGUACUGGGACUCUAACCAUAGGCCAUGAAUCUGGUCUUGGGACACUGUCAGGUGGGCAGUUUGACUGGGGCGGUCGCCUCCCAAAAGG
This 852-nucleotide ribosomal RNA is filed under the name Clostridioides difficile. RNAcentral's name for it is "bacterial LSU rRNA". It matches the Rfam family "Bacterial large subunit ribosomal RNA", at positions 1437 to 2297 of the family's 2925-position model. The record is from RNAcentral. Lineage: Bacteria; Bacillati; Bacillota; Clostridia; Peptostreptococcales; Peptostreptococcaceae.